This 278-nucleotide ribosomal RNA is filed under the name uncultured bacterium. Its description in RNAcentral is "partial 16S ribosomal RNA". It matches the Rfam family "Bacterial small subunit ribosomal RNA", at positions 337 to 631 of the family's 1533-position model. The record is from RNAcentral.
ACCUACGGGAGGCAGCAGUGGGGGAUAUUGCACAAUGGGGGGAACCCUGAUGCAGCGACGCCGCGUGGGUGAAGAAGUAUUUCGGUAUGUAAAGCCCUAUCGGCAGGGAAGAAAUUGGACGGUACCUGACUAAGAAGCCCUGGCUAACUACGUGCCAGCAGCCGCAGUAAUACGGAGGGUGCGAGCGUUAAUCGGAAUUACUGGGCGUAAAGCGCUCGUAGGCGGGAUGUCAAGUCCAGGGUGAAAUCCCCGCGCUCAACGUGGGAACUGCCUUUUAA